AUUGAACGCUGGCGGUAGGCCUAACACAUGCAAGUCGAGCGGAUGAAGGGAGCUUGCUCCUGGAUUCAGCGGCGGACGGAUGAGUAAUGCCUAGGAAUCUGCCUGGUAGUGGGGGAUAACGUCCGGAAACGGGCGCUAAUACCGCAUACGUCCUGAGGGAGAAAGUGGGGGAUCUUCGGACCUCACGCUAUCAGAUGAGCCUAGGUCGGAUUAGCUAGUUGGUGGGGUAAAGGCCUACCAAGGCGACGAUCCGUAACUGGUCUGAGAGGAUGAUCAGUCACACUGGAACUGAGACACGGUCCAGACUCCUACGGGAGGCAGCAGUGGGGAAUAUUGGACAAUGGGCGAAAGCCUGAUCCAGCCAUGCCGCGUGUGUGAAGAAGGUCUUCGGAUUGUAAAGCACUUUAAGUUGGGAGGAAGGGCAGUAAGUUAAUACCUUGCUGUUUUGACGUUACCAACAGAAUAAGCACCGGCUAACUUCGUG
Molecule: ribosomal RNA, 484 nt
Filed under: uncultured bacterium
Lineage: Bacteria
Description: partial 16S ribosomal RNA
Rfam family: Bacterial small subunit ribosomal RNA
Source: RNAcentral